GAUGAACGCUGGCGGCGUGCCUAAUACAUGCGAGUCGAGCGAACAGACGAGGAGCUUGCUCCUCUGACGUUAGCGGCGGACGGGUGAGUGACACGUGGAUAACCUACCUAUAAGACUGGGAUAACUUCGGGAAACCGGAGCUAAUACCGGAUAAUAUAUUGAACCGCAUGGUUCAAUAGUGAAAGACGGUUUUGCUGUCACUUAUAGAUGGAUCCGCGCCGCAUUAGCUAGUUGGUAAGGUAACGGCUUACCAAGGCAACGAUGCGUAGCCGACCUGAGAGGGUGAUCGGCCACACUGGAACUGAGACACGGUCCAGACUCCUACGGGAGGCAGCAGUAGGGAAUCUUCCGCAAUGGGCGAAAGCCUGACGGAGCAACGCCGCGUGAGUGAUGAAGGUCUUCGGAUCGUAAAACUCUGUUAUUAGGGAAGAACAUAUGUGUAAGUAACUGUGCACAUCUUGACGGUACCUAAUCAGAAAGCCACGGCUAACUACGUG
RNAcentral lists this ribosomal RNA (497 nucleotides) under uncultured bacterium. Its description in RNAcentral is "partial 16S ribosomal RNA". It matches the Rfam family "Bacterial small subunit ribosomal RNA", at positions 28 to 507 of the family's 1533-position model. The record is from RNAcentral.